This 79-nucleotide small nucleolar RNA is filed under the name Rhinocladiella mackenziei CBS 650.93. RNAcentral's name for it is "A. fumigatus snoRNA Afu_294". It matches the Rfam family "A. fumigatus snoRNA Afu_294". The record is from Rfam by way of RNAcentral. Lineage: Eukaryota; Fungi; Ascomycota; Eurotiomycetes; Chaetothyriales; Herpotrichiellaceae.
UUCCCUGAUGAUCUCAUGUAUUCGCUGUGUUCUUACUGAAUUCUCAUGACGAACAUACAUCACCUUGGAGAACUGAUAU